RNAcentral lists this ribosomal RNA (469 nucleotides) under uncultured bacterium. Its description in RNAcentral is "bacterial SSU rRNA". It matches the Rfam family "Bacterial small subunit ribosomal RNA", at positions 335 to 800 of the family's 1533-position model. The record is from RNAcentral.
ACUCCUACGGGAGGCAGCAGUGAGGAAUAUUGGACAAUGGAGGCAACUCUGAUCCAGCCAUGCCGCGUGCAGGAAGACUGCCCUAUGGGUUGUAAACUGCUUUUAUACAGGAAGAAACCACUCUACGUGUAGAGUUCUGACGGUACUGUAAGAAUAAGGAUCGGCUAACUCCGUGCCAGCAGCCGCGGUAAUACGGAGGAUCCAAGCGUUAUCCGGAAUCAUUGGGUUUAAAGGGUCCGUAGGCGGUUUUAUAAGUCAGUGGUGAAAUCCGGCAGCUCAACUGUCGAACUGCCAUUGAUACUGUAGAACUUGAAUUAUUGUGAAGUAACUAGAAUAUGUAGUGUAGCGGUGAAAUGCUUAGAGAUUACAUGGAAUACCAAUUGCGAAGGCAGGUUACUAACAAUAUAUUGACGCUGAUGGACGAAAGCGUGGGUAGCGAACAGGAUUAGAUACCCUGGUAGGAUAGCGU